AGUCGAACGGGCCGCAAGGCCAGUGGCGGAAGGGUGAGUAAGGCGACGGUAACCAACCCCAUGGUUGGGUAUAGCCGCGGGAAACUGCGGGUAAUCCCCAGCGACGUCCGGAGCGGGCAUCCGCCCUGGACCAAAGUCUUGGCGCCGUGGGACGGGCCGUCGUGGUAUUAGGUCGUUGGCGGGGUAAUGGCCCACCAAGCCUAUGAUGCCUACCGGGCGUGCGAGCGUGGCCCGGCACACUGGGACUGAGACACUGCCCAGACUCCUACGGGAGGCUGCAGUCGAGAAUCUUCGGCAAUGGGCGCAAGCCUGACCGAGCGACGCCGCGUGGAGGACGAAGGCCUUCGGGUUGUAAACUCCUGUCGAGGGGGAGGAAGGUCGGGCAACCGGCUUGACCGAUCCCUGGAGGAAGCACGGGCUAAGUUCGUGCCAGCAGCCGCGGUAAGACGAACCGUGCGAACGUUAUUCGGAAUCACUGGGCUUAAAGCGCGUGUAUGCGGAUGGGGACGUCGGUCGCUGAAAUCCCCCGGCUCAACCGGGGAACGGGCACCGAAACGCCCCGUCU
Molecule: ribosomal RNA, 565 nt
Filed under: uncultured bacterium
Lineage: Bacteria
Description: bacterial SSU rRNA
Rfam family: Bacterial small subunit ribosomal RNA
Source: RNAcentral